RNAcentral lists this non-coding RNA (26 nucleotides) under Rattus norvegicus (Norway rat). The record is from RNAcentral. Lineage: Eukaryota; Metazoa; Chordata; Mammalia; Rodentia; Muridae.
UGGUAAUUAUGUGCAAGUGAUACAAU